UUAUACCAGGCAACAAAAUUACGUGCUGACAGCACAUUUGGUUGCGUUUCAUUUUCAAUACCCAAUUGGCGAUCCUGAUCAGCACCAUAGGGUGAUCGGGAGCAACACCAAAUCUAAAAAAAUAUGACAAAAGAUAACUUAAAGUAAACUCAUUGAACUUGAAAAUAAAUAACUAAAGUAAUUAGUUUUGGAGCUGAUAAGAAGCAAUGACAUACAGGUUUUUUUAUUUUGAAAUAUUAAGUCACAAACACACAAACCUAAACAGAAGAAUGGGAAAUAGUUUCUCCGUACUUUAUGACUUGAGAAUUGUAUAAAAGGAGCUUGGCUGAAAUGCAGCAAAUUUCAUUAUUUUCAAAAUGCCUAAUGUGAAACUAAAUACUCAACAUUUGCCAUUAUUACUGUUGUUGUUACUUGCAAUUCUGAGGGAAGCUAAUGCAACUUUCUACUUCGCGAGCAUAGGAAAUUAUUUCCAGAAUAUAUUCCAUGCCAUAUUUGAUCCCAUAGGAAAUGCAUUUUCUGGCAACAAUCGUGGAUGGAGCAAUGCCAACAUUACUUCAAGGGGAUAACUUGCCCAUUGCUUGUCCUCUUUUCCCAUUAAUUCAUUAACUUACCUCACCAAACCAAAAGGAACAGGCAAUUUGUCAAUAACAUCCACAUUGGAAUUUGGUAAAUGUUUCAAAAUAUGUUGAGCCGCGUAGAAACCUGCCGGCCCAGCGCCAACAAUACAAACUCUCGUGGAAGGGUUCUGGGCAAAAAAUCGUAUGUGCGUCAAGUUGUUUAACUGAGGUUUAUAAUUUCGUUGUAAAAUAGUUCGUAACAUUCUUAAAAUAAAUGUAAUUUAACUUCAAAUUAA
Molecule: long non-coding RNA, 853 nt
Organism: Musca domestica (house fly)
Lineage: Eukaryota; Metazoa; Arthropoda; Insecta; Diptera; Muscidae
Exons: 3
Source: RefSeq, a predicted model, not a curated record